This 484-nucleotide ribosomal RNA is filed under the name uncultured bacterium. RNAcentral describes it as "partial 16S ribosomal RNA". It matches the Rfam family "Bacterial small subunit ribosomal RNA", at positions 30 to 507 of the family's 1533-position model. The record is from RNAcentral.
AUUGAGCGCUGGCGGCAGGCUUAACACAUGCAAGUCGAGCGGAUGAAGGGAGCUUGCUCCUGGAUUCAGCGGCGGACGGGUGAGUAAUGCCUAGGAAUCUGCCUGGUAGUGGGGGAUAACGUCCGGAAACGGGCGCUAAUACCGCAUACGUCCUGAGGGAGAAAGUGGGGGAUCUUCGGACCUCACGCUAUCAGAUGAGCCUAGGUCGGAUUAGCUAGUUGGUGGGGUAAAGGCCUACCAAGGCGACGAUCCGUAACUGGUCUGAGAGGAUGAUCAGUCACACUGGAACUGAGACACGGUCCAGACUCCUACGGGAGGCAGCAGUGGGGAAUAUUGGACAAUGGGCGAAAGCCUGAUCCAGCCAUGCCGCGUGUGUGAAGAAGGUCUUCGGAUUGUAAAGCACUUUAAGUUGGGAGGAAGGGCAGUAAGUUAAUACCUUGCUGUUUUGACGUUACCAACAGAAUAAGCACCGGCUAACUUCGUG